GGAUGUGAGGGUCAUCUGGCUGCGACAUCUGUCACCCCAUUGACUGCCAGGGUUGAUUCAGCUGAUCUGGCUGGCUAGGCGGGUGUCCCCUUCCUCCCUCACUGCUCCAUGUGUGUCCCACCCAAAGCUGCAGCACUUGGUCAAAGAGGACGGCCUUCUCCAAAUGGAAAAAGAACAGUCUUCGAUCUUUGAUCGAGGGUAUAUGAGUAGCUGCGCUCCCCUGCUAGAACCUCCCAACAAGCUCUCAAGAUCCUUUUUUCUCUGGACAGCAGCUUCCAAAUUACUGCUAUUAUCAGGUGGCUUCAACUU
Molecule: unclassified non-coding RNA, 309 nt
Organism: Erinaceus europaeus (western European hedgehog)
Lineage: Eukaryota; Metazoa; Chordata; Mammalia; Eulipotyphla; Erinaceidae
Gene: 7SK
Rfam family: 7SK RNA
About the family: 7SK was discovered as an abundant small nuclear RNA in the mid-70s but a possible function has only recently been suggested. Two independent studies have found that 7SK RNA binds the CDK9/cyclin T complex (known as elongation factor P-TEFb). P-TEFb activates transcription by phosphorylating the C-terminal domain of RNA polymerase II.
Source: Ensembl